Molecule: ribosomal RNA, 874 nt
Filed under: bacterium enrichment culture clone R907-5
Lineage: Bacteria
Description: bacterial SSU rRNA
Rfam family: Bacterial small subunit ribosomal RNA
Source: RNAcentral
AGGAUGAACGCUAGCGGCAGGCUUAAUACAUGCAAGUCGAGGGGCAGCAUGGUGUAGCAAUACACUGAUGGCGACCGGCAAACGGGUGCGGAACACGUACAGAACCUUCCUUCGAGCGGGGAAUAGCCCAGAGAAAUUUGGAUUAAUACCCCAUAGUAUACCAGAGUGGCAUCACUUUGUUAUUAAAGAUUUAUCACUUGAAGAUGGCUGUGCGGCUGAUUAGGUAGUUGGCGGGGUAACGGCCCACCAAGCCUGCGAUCAGUAACUGGUGUGAGAGCACGACCAGUCACACGGGCACUGAGACACGGGCCCGACUCCUACGGGAGGCAGCAGUAAGGAAUAUUGGUCAAUGGACGAAAGUCUGAACCAGCCAUGCCGCGUGGAGGAUGAAGGUCCUCUGGAUUGUAAACUUCUUUUAUCUGGGACGAAAAAAGGUCUUUCUAGACCGUCUGACGGUACCAGAUGAAUAAGCACCGGCUAACUCCGUGCCAGCAGCCGCGGUAAUACGGAGGGUGCAAGCGUUAUCCGGAUUCACUGGGUUUAAAGGGUGCGUAGGUGGGUUAGUAAGUCAGUGGUGAAAUCUUCGAGCUUAACUCGGAAACUGCCAUUGAUACUAUCAGUCUUGAAUAUUGUGGAGGUUAGCGGAAUAUGUCAUGUAGCGGUGAAAUGCUUAGAUAUGACAUAGAACACCAAUUGCGAAGGCAGCUGGCUACACAUAUAUUGACACUGAGGCACGAAAGCGUGGGGAUCAAACAGGAUUAGAUACCCUGGUAGUCCACGCCCUAAACUAUGGAUACUCGACAUACGCGAUACACUGUGUGUGUCUGAGCGAAAGCAUUAAGUAUCCCACCUGGGAAGUACGAUCGCAAGAUUG